UGGUGCUUCUCAUAAUUUUUGUUGUAGCUUUCCAAGUGCCGUUGUGUUUUAGAGCUUCCGUGCACAACAUCUCUAUCACCAAAUUCACUCACAAAAUCUCUCUGUCCCUAAAGUAGGUUUCCCACUUUUUUUCUUGGUAGGACUCUCUCUGUCUCCUCUCUCACAAACGCCAAGAAGUAUUGCCAUUCAUGUGUAAAAAUCUUUAUACACCUCUUAAAUUCACAUUCUAAAACUACCACUUUCUAUCUCAGGCACUCUGCUAACAUACAGUAAAACGUAACACUCUCUCUCCAAACAAAUACUAAAAGCAAUAAUGUAUAAAAUCCCUUCUCUCUCUAGGUCUUUAGUCAAAUAGUAACGUGAAACUCUCUCUCUCCAACUGUGCAAAAGCUAAGUAGCAUUGAACAAAAAAUCAGGUUGGUUUAACCAAUAACCGCACAGUCAUAACAAGGGGCGGUUUUGGUGACUAGCUGGGUAUUUUUU
Molecule: long non-coding RNA, 483 nt
Filed under: Amborella trichopoda
Lineage: Eukaryota; Viridiplantae; Streptophyta; Magnoliopsida; Amborellales; Amborellaceae
Description: long non-coding RNA (ATRI_LNC001581)
Source: RNAcentral